RNAcentral lists this ribosomal RNA (263 nucleotides) under uncultured bacterium. RNAcentral describes it as "partial 16S ribosomal RNA". It matches the Rfam family "Bacterial small subunit ribosomal RNA", at positions 793 to 1055 of the family's 1533-position model. The record is from RNAcentral.
GUCCACGCCCUAAACGAUGUCGACUAGUUGUUGGGGAGUUAAAUCCCUUAGUAACGCAGCUAACGCGAGAAGUCGACCGCCUGGGGAGUACGGUCGCAAGAUUAAAACUCAAAGGAAUUGACGGGGCCCGCACAAGCGGUGGAUGAUGUGGUUUAAUUCGACGCAACGCGAAAACCUUACCUACCCUUGACAUGUACGGAACUCCGCAGAGAUGUGGAGGUGCCCGAAAGGGAGCCGUAACACAGGUGCUGCAUGGCUGUCGU